GACGAACGCUGGCGGCGUGCUUAACACAUGCAAGUCGAGCGGUAAGGCUCCUUCGGGAGUACACGAGCGGCGAACGGGUGAGUAACACGUGAGCAAUCUGCCCUUCACACGGGGAUAACCCUCGGAAACGAGAGCUAAUACCCGAUACGACCACUUCAGGCAUCUGAUGGUGGUGGAAAGUUCCGGCGGUGAAGGAUGAGCUCGCGGCCUAUCAGCUUGUUGGUGUGGUAACGGCCCACCAAGGCAACGACGGGUAGCCGGCCUGAGAGGGUGACCGGCCACACUGGGACUGAGACACGGCCCAGACUCCUACGGGAGGCAGCAGUGGGGAAUAUUGGACAAUGGGCGAAAGCCUGAUCCAGCAACGCCGCGUGAGGGAUGACGGCCUUCGGGUUGUAAACCUCUUUCAGCGGGGACGAAGCGCAAGUGACGGUACCUGCAGAAGAAGCACCGGCCAACUACGUGCCAGCCGCCGCCGUAA
This 481-nucleotide ribosomal RNA is filed under the name uncultured bacterium. RNAcentral's name for it is "partial 16S ribosomal RNA". It matches the Rfam family "Bacterial small subunit ribosomal RNA", at positions 28 to 523 of the family's 1533-position model. The record is from RNAcentral.